This 279-nucleotide ribosomal RNA is filed under the name uncultured bacterium. Its description in RNAcentral is "partial 16S ribosomal RNA". It matches the Rfam family "Bacterial small subunit ribosomal RNA", at positions 506 to 784 of the family's 1533-position model. The record is from RNAcentral.
UGCCAGCCUCCGCGGUAAUACGAAUGGGGCAAGCGUUGUUCGGAAUCACUGGGCUUAAAGCGUGCGCAGGCGGAUAUGAAAGUCAGGAGUGAAAUCCCAGAGCUCAACUCUGGAACUGCUCUUGAAACUCCAUAUCUAGAAUCCGGUAGAGGUCAGGAGAAUUCCUAGUGUAGAGGUGAAAUUCGUAGAUAUUAGGAGGAAUACCGGUGGCGUAGGCGCCUGACUGGGCCGGCAUUGACGCUCAUGUACGAAAGCGUGGGGAGCAAACAGGAUUAGAUA